RNAcentral lists this ribosomal RNA (1504 nucleotides) under metagenome. RNAcentral's name for it is "bacterial LSU rRNA". It matches the Rfam family "Bacterial large subunit ribosomal RNA", at positions 1396 to 2925 of the family's 2925-position model. The record is from RNAcentral.
ACGAGGUCGAAAGACGUAGUCGAUGGAUAACAGGUUGAAAUUCCUGUACUAUCCUGUAACAGAACUGUGGGGACACAGGCAGAGAGCGUGAGCCGGGAAUGGAAAGACCGGUACAAGCGAGGUAGGAGAAGAGUUGGCAAAUCCGCUCUUUAAUCUGAAGACGUGAUGUGGACUGAAAAUAAGUAGGGAAGCACGUGAGCUGACUGUCAAGAAAAGCCGCUAUUGUUUGCAGGAUACCCGUACCGUAAACCGACACAGGUGGAUGAGGAGAGAAUCCUAAGGCCGACGGGAGAAGCAUUGUUAAGGAACUCGGCAAAAUGACUCCGUAACUUCGGGAGAAGGAGUGCCAGUAAGAUGGCCGCAGAGAAUUGGCCCAAGCAACUGUUUAGCAAAAACACAGGUCUAUGCGAAACCGAAAGGUGAGGUAUAUGGGCUGACGCCUGCCCGGUGCUGGAAGGUUAAGGGGAGAGGUUAGCGCAAGCGAAGCUUUGAACUUAAGCCCCAGUAAACGGCGGCCGUAACAAUAACGGUCCUAAGGUAGCGAAAUUCCUUGUCGGGUAAGUUCCGACCCGCACGAAAGGCGUAAUGAUUUGGGCACUGUCUCAACAAUGCACCCGGUGAAAUUGAAAUACCAGUGAAGAUGCUGGUUACCUGCGCCAGGACGGAAAGACCCCAUGGAGCUUUACUCCAGCUUGAUACUGGGAUUCGGUAUUGCAUGUACAGGAUAGGUGGGAGGCUAGGAAAUGGUAACGCCAGUUACCAUGGAGCCAAUGUUGGGAUACCACCCUUGCAGUACUGGGUUUCUAACCAGCAGCCGCGAUCCGGCUGGGGGACAAUGUCAGGUGGGGAGUUUGACUGGGGCGGUCGCCUCCGAAAGGGUAUCGGAGGCGCUCAAAGGUUCCCUCAGAAUGGUUGGAAACCAUUCGAAGAGUGCAAAGGCAGAAGGGAGCUUGACUGCGACACCGACGGGUGGAGCAGGUACGAAAGUAGGACUUAGUGAUCCGGUGGUAUAAAGUGGGAUUGCCAUCGCUCAACGGAUAAAAGCUACCCUGGGAUAACAGGCUUAUCACUCCCAAGAGUUCACAUCGACGGAGUGGUUUGGCACCUCGAUGUCGGCUCAUCGCAUCCUGGGGCUGAAGUAGGUCCCAAGGGUUGGGCUGUUCGCCCAUUAAAGCGGUGCGCGAGCUGGGUUCAGAACGUCGUGAGACAGUUCGGUCCCUAUCCGGCGUGGGCGUAAGAUAUUUGAGAGGAGCUGUCCUUAGUACGAGAGGACCGGGAUGGACUGGCCGCUGGUGUAUCUGUUGUCUUACCAAAGGCAUAGCAGAGUAGCCAAGCCGGGAAGGGAUAAGCGCUGAAGGCAUCUAAGCGUGAAGCCCCCCUCAAGAUGAGAUAUCUCAUAACGUCAAGUUAGUAAGACCCCUUGAAGACGACGAGGUAGAUAGGGCAGAGGUGGAAGUGUGGUAACACAUGGAGCUGACUGUUACUAAUAGGUCGAGGGCAUAAC